RNAcentral lists this long non-coding RNA (242 nucleotides) under Homo sapiens (human). RNAcentral describes it as "non-protein coding lnc-ZNF492-4:1". The record is from RNAcentral. Lineage: Eukaryota; Metazoa; Chordata; Mammalia; Primates; Hominidae.
AUUUCGGACCUGUUACUACUGGGCCUCACAGGUGGCCUGACUCUGUUACUGCUCCUGACACUGCUGGCCUUUGCCGGGUACUCAGGGCUGUUGGCUGGGGUGGCAGUGAGUGCCGGCUCACCCCCCAUCCCUACAAGUUCCAUGUGGAGCCCUAUGGUGAGGCUGGGUGGCUUUUCACCAGAGCUGCAGCAUCUCCCCCAAGCUCUGCUCCAUCGCUGUCCACUAGGACAACCCCACAUGGU